RNAcentral lists this ribosomal RNA (460 nucleotides) under uncultured bacterium. RNAcentral's name for it is "partial 16S ribosomal RNA". It matches the Rfam family "Bacterial small subunit ribosomal RNA", at positions 338 to 795 of the family's 1533-position model. The record is from RNAcentral.
CCUACGGGAGGCAGCAGUGAGGAAUAUUGGUCAAUGGGCGCGAGCCUGAACCAGCCAAGUAGCGUGAAGGAUGACUGCCCUACGGGUUGUAAACCUCUUUUAUAAGGGAAUAAAGUUGUCCACGUGUGCCUUUUUGCAUGUACCUUAUGAAUAAGGACCGGCUAAUUCCGUUCCAGCAGCCGCGGUAAUACGGAGGGUCCGGGCGUUAUCCGGAUUUAUUGGGUUUAAAGGGAGCGUAGACGGGUUGUUAAGUCAGUUGUGAAAGUUUGCGGCUCAACCGUAAAAUUGCAGUUGAUACUGGCAGUCUUGAGUGCAGUUGAGGUAGGCGGAAUUCGUGGUGUAGCGGUGAAAUGCUUAGAUAUCACGCAGAACUCCGAUUGCGAAGGCAGCUUACUAGACUGCCACUGACAUUGAUGCUCGAAAGUGUGGGUAUCAAACAGGAUUAGAUACCCCAGUAGUC